GCUCUCUGACUAGUUGUGACGCUGAAGCACUUGCGAGUGGGGAACCAACGGGAAUGUAUCCCGUGGGGUACCGGCUGUAACUAUUGGUGCUAGGUGUUAGACCCUUUCCGGGGUUAUGUGGCGUGACUUUUGCUUUAAACGUGCCGUCGGGGGAGUACCACAGGGAGGUGGAUUGUCUUAUGAAUUGGGGGAAUCACUAGCGCACUCGCGCCAGCGAUACAUAGCCGACCUGAGAGGGUGAUCGGCCACACUGGGACUGAGACACGGCCCAGACUCCUACGGGAGGCAGCAGUAGGGAAUCUUCGGCAAUGGACGGAAGUCUGACCGAGCAACGCCGCGUGAGUGAAGAAGGUUUUCGGAUCGUAAAGCUCAGUUGUAAGAGAAGAACGAGUGUGAGAGUGGAAAGUUCACACUGUGACGGUAUCUUACCAGAAAGGGACGGCUAACUACGUGCCAGCAGCCGCGGUAAUACGUAGGUCCCGAGCGUUGUCCGGAUUUAUUGGGCGUAAAGCGAGCGCAGGCGGUUAGAUAAGUCUGAAGUUAAAGGCUGUGGCUUAACCAUAGUAGGCUUUGGAAACUGUUUAACUUGA
This 590-nucleotide ribosomal RNA is filed under the name uncultured Streptococcus sp. Its description in RNAcentral is "bacterial SSU rRNA". It matches the Rfam family "Bacterial small subunit ribosomal RNA", at positions 70 to 645 of the family's 1533-position model. The record is from RNAcentral. Lineage: Bacteria; Bacillati; Bacillota; Bacilli; Lactobacillales; Streptococcaceae.